GCAAAUGCCUUUCUGAGGGUCUGGAUAAAAACGUGGGGAAAACUUCUCAGGUUUAAUUUUGCAAACUUUAUCUUCUUUCGAAAGGUUGUGUAAUGGGGAAAAGAUUUCUUAUUUCAUGUGUUCUAUCUAACAUUUCUGAUCAUUUCAAAUGCUAGGGAUCUAAUUUUCUGGUUACUAGCCCAUUUUUAGAAGAAUCUCUAAAGACUGUUGCUAUUGAUUCUUCCUCUGACAAAAUGUCAGAAGCUGCAGUGAAAUUGUUUCCAUCGGUCCGAGAAUACCUGUUACCAAACCAGUAAUCAUGUAGUGUGUUGUCAAAGACUGUCCCAGUUCAGGUUCAGGCAAACUGCUCUGAAAAGCUGUAGUGUAUCAGUAUAUUUUUGUUAAUCAUUUGGAAAAAUGGAGAGAUUUUUUUAAUAUAUCUGAUUGCACUUCUAUAAAUGGAUGAGUAAGUGGAACUGAGCUUUCCUGGUUUCCUUUCAGCUGGCUUCUGAUUGCUUUGUGAACUUAACUUUUUUUUUUUAACUAGGUUUCAAUAAAGAAGUGGAUGUAAGCAUUCAAACUAAAUGAUGUUUGCCUAGAGUGCUGUAAACUGACUCAAGUUAGUAAUGCUUUUAAUAUUUUCAAAAUCCUGGUCUAUUAAGAGACACUUGGUAACAUGGGUGAGUCUUCAGACUUGCUACUGCACUUCAAGGUCAUGAUCAUUCACUUUUGCAGGAGUAUCACUACGACCGCACACUUGUUAACACCUAUUCUUCUGUUUCUGCUCAGGAUAUCUAUUUUAUAUAGUAGCUCUUAGUUUUAUUUCACGUUGGGCCUACCAACAGUCUUGCCUUCGGAAUUACACCACGCAGAUAUUUCAUUUCUCUGGGAUGAGGCAUAGAAGACUUAAGUUGAAGGAAACAAUGCCUCUUAUGCUCCUCUGAGCAUUGUCUGAUGAUUAUACCGUUGCGUUAGCGAUCCUGCAGUUGACAUUCUCAGCCUUUAUAUUCAAUAGGUUAUAACAUUAAAUCAUCUUCUUACCUCAUUCCUACCUUAGACGAAAUUGUGCUUGGAGCAUUUGGUGGGGGUAGAAUUAUACAGUGCAGCUGUUACGUGUCAGUUGUGCUUUUAUGCUACAGAACUUUUUUAUUCCAGUUCAAAUGAUGUGGGCAAUUUUUAGGAGUGCUUGGCUGGGAAAUUUGAAAAUAUUUGGUACAUGCUUGUACCAGCUUGAAAAUGGACUCAUUAUUUCUAAUGCAGACACUUCACAGUGUCAAUGUAAGGCUAACUGCUUGCUUCAAACCCAACUGAACCAAUUAUCUAGAGCAGGAAAGUUGGAAUGCUGCGUGUUUCCUAUGGAGAGAGAUGCUGUCCGGGCAGCUUUCCAAACAGUCAUGCGAAGCCUAAGAGAGGGAUUUAAUGUGCAGGAUGAAUUCUGUGUUAGGAAAAAGCUGUAAAACUGUUUCAAUGUACUCAGGCUGUGCAAAUGACCUCACAUUUCCAAGUUGGAAGACAGUGUGCUGUGCUGAGCACAGUCUUUAGCAGACUGAGAGGAAGGAUUUCAGCGAGUAGGGGCGGGUGACAGAUUGGGGUUUGUAUAUAUAAUUUGUAAGGCACUGUGAUCUUGGCUUUGAAUAGUCAGCUGUAAUGAUACUACUACCUUCUCAUUUUUUCUUUCAAGAAAACUGUAUGAAAAAACAGUGGUGGUAAAAUUUAAAACAAUUGUAAGUUCUUCAUUUAAUAGCAGAUAAGAGGUUUAUAGGAACGGGUAAUAUUGUUAAUUAGAUCAGCGUAAAAAUGCUUGUCUGCUUUUUCUAACCUUAGUCAUGCAAUCCUCUCAUCAGCUUUUCUAAAUCUUCAUCCGCUUUAAUAACAAGCUAAGUUAUGCUCCUCUGAGGCUUCUGGAGUUUCCUUGACUGUAUAUGAAGUAUACAGUUAAGUGAGAACACAGAUUAUUUAAUUCAGUAAUUCUCUUAAGACUCAUAAUUUAUGCACGUUAGGUGAAGCUUGCAUCUCAUUUUACAAAAAUUUUACAAUUUUUUGAACUGAACCCUGAUACCAGUCCUAUGUUAUCUGGGAUAGGGGAUUAAGUUCUUGUCUUCGUGUUGCUGAGAGCUCUACCCAGGUGUUACCGUGUGCAGAUCUGCAGUCAGCUCUGUAAACUCAGCCUUAGCUGAGGGUAAAGUCAGUUUGUCAGAACGGUGUUUUUACAUUUCCUGACAGAGCACUGUAAUACUAACAAAGCCAAAACCUGUCAUGUUCUGAUCAAAACCCCCCCACAUGCACAGUAUAAUCUUGCUUUGACCAUUUAUCUUCAUUGUUGUUUCCAUUCAUUAAAUCUACCCAAUGCUUUUUAUGAGCCUUAAUGCUGAACCAGUGUGCACCUCUGUGAAUGUUCUUGUCUUCCUCUAUAAAACACAGCUCUCUGAGCUUUGCUUUUCCCUGCUUCUCUUUAUCACUGAUUAUAUCCAUUACUACUCCUAAGCUGCUUAUUCCUAGUUGGGUUUUUUUCUGAUUAUUUUCUAGUGCAUUGAAAAUGUGUUCUGCUGUGCCAUUUUUACUUUGAUUGGCCUAGAAGGCAGAAAAUACUACUUAAAGUAAGUAAUACUCUGAAAGGUUAGGAAGUAAUUCCUUCUGUAGGAGCUCCAUCUCUGAAAGCUUGUUCCUCCUUUGUGUAUUAUGAAAUUUGAAAUGUGUUGUCUCGUAAAUGAGAAAUAGAUAUAUGAUAAUAAUAACAAAAAUAUAUAGUAUAACAGUUAAUAUUCCAGGACUGCAAAUAGCUUAUGAAACCGAUUUUCUUUGAAAGAUGCAAUCUAGCCUAUUGUCCUGAUUUCAGCUGGAACGGAGUUAGUUUUCUCUAUAAUGUCUGCUAAGAUGCUGUGUUCUGUUUAGGAAAAAAACACUGUUGAUCCCACACCCAACACAUGUUGCAGUUGUUGCUGAGCAAUGCUGCACAAAGCCAGGGAUGUUUCAGCUUUUCAGCUUCUCUUACUGCCCUGGCAGUGAGGGCCUGGGGGGCUAGGAACCCUGAGGGGACAGAACCAGCACAGAUGACCUAAACUGGCCAAAGGGCUGUUCUGCAUGAUGCCACACAGUUAUGGAACUAUAACACUAGGGGAGUUGGCUGGGGACUGCCACAGCUUAGGGACUGGCUGAGCAUUGGUUGGCAGGUGGUGAGCAAUGGCAUUUCACAUCAACUUUGCUUUUCUGUCUUAGUAAAUUGUCUUCAUCGCAACCCAUGAGGCUUUUUCUCCUGAUUCUCUUUACCUUCCUGCUUGGAGGAGGGGUGAGCGGAUGGCUGUGUGGUGCUGAGCUGACUGCCAAGUUAGACCGUAGCAGGCUUUUUCGGUGCCCAGGACUUGAAAGGGUUAUAAUGAUAUGAUGAUGGAGCUGACCAGAGCAUGUUAAAAUUGUUACAAGCUUUAUAGUAGCAUAGUAGUUGCUGGUCACAGUAUUGAUUCUUUCACUCUCAGUGUGGUUUUAUUUGCUUUCAUAGUUAAUUUUCUUAGUUCCUUUCUUGUUUAUCAAUACUGGGAGCUGGCCUAAGGUUACACGUGCUUUUGGCAUUUUGUAGAUAGUGCACACUCAUAUUACAUUGACCAUGAACUUAAUGUGGUAUUUGUACUCAGUACUGCCAUCGUUCUAGCAAUUAGGGAACCUUACUGUGAGGACUAUUAACAAGCUCUUUACUACAGGCAAGUUAAAAUAGGCUUUGAAAUUUUUGAAUACAGCUGGGAUGUUCAAACUGGCACAAUCCUAUUGCUGUAUCUUCUUUGUGUUUCUGGUUUUAUCUGUGGUUAAACAACCGUUGCAAAACACCAGCCAGAGAUGUGCCCUGAGGCAGGAUGGCUGUGGGUGGCAAGGUGUGUGGGAGGAGAUGGGCAGGUAUUAAUCGCCAUCUCUGAAUGGUUUGGAAUUCACCCCUUAUCAAGUGCAGAAUCCUAAAAAGCUGACAGAAUGUUUCAAAAAGCUGUGCCCUGAUCCUGGCAAUAUGAAAGAGUUAGAGCUCGCUGUGCUGUGCUGGUGCCUGGCCUGUGCCUAUCAAACACUGUUCACCAUUAUUCUGUACCCUCAAAAAGAAGAAAAUGCUUCUGGGUCUAUCCCAGCCCCUGCAGCAGGUCCUGUGGCUGAACCAGAGAGGCAACAGGAAGCAGAAACUGCCCAUCCCCAUCUUGCCCUUUCUUCCUCCGAAAAUUUAAAAUGCCUUCAAAAGGUCGUCUUUGAAUGGCAUCUUCAAUUUAAUAAAAGCACAGCAUCUUUAAAUGCUCAAAUCAAUAAGCUUCAUAGGAUUUUAAAAUAAAAGAAAGUAAUGCAGAAACAAGUCAUGUCAAAGGGAAAGAAACAGCACGUGAACAGAACAGUGAAUUAGUGGUUGAAAUGGUGAUCUGCCAAGAAGCACAGUUACUGCAGUCCAACAUUCUUGCAUUUCUUGAUGUUUUAUUGCCUGAACUUUUUCUAGGUAGUCCGGUCUGUUCUUAGGAAGACCUUCUGCUACAGAUAAGAAGUGCAUUGUAUUGGGAAUGCAGGACUGGAUUGAAGUGUUCUCUUAAAUCUGUAUUGACAAAGGAGAGGUAUUUGAAUAUGCUAACUGUGACCAUUAGUAUAAAUGGUCAUCUGCAGAAUUGCAGUGCGCAUGAAACUUUCCUUUAUGGUCUGCAGCUGAGACCUUUGAUUGUGAGCAGUUGGAGCCCUAACAGAGUCUUCACGUAGUUCAAGAACUAUCUCAUUUCAGAAUAACCCUCCAUUUAUGCUUCAAAACCCUCUGUAUUUGGUGUGAAUGGCAUUUGAGUAAUAAAUAUGGAUUCCUGUAGCAGUUUGAUGAUUUAAAUGUUUUUUUACUUCUUAAAAAUUCAAGAUUCUCUGAAAUAGCCUGCGACAAAAGCACGGCAAUGUGUUACAUUCAGUUAAACUGCAGAUGCUCUGAAGAAAAGCUAAUUAAAAGCCAGAGGUUUUGUAUUCGUUGGUUUCUCUCAAUGCCAACUGCAGCAGUUGCUUUGAAGUGUAAAUAUGGUCUGAAUGUAGUCAUCCCCGAAAGAGAUGGAAAAAUUAUCAGUGAAAAAUGAUCAGUUCUGAAUUAGUGGAGGCUGCAUAAACUUGCUGGGUUCUUCACGACCAGGGUCACGAUCACAUAAUUAUGAUAAUAGCUCUUUGUCCUUUAGAUAAAUGAGAAGUGUCUACUCUUAUCUCUGCCACAACUGCGGUGAAACUUCACAGAGGAUAUGGCGUGAUUAGGCUCAGCCUGUAAUUCUUUCCCUUUUUUGUUCCAUUGCCUUUUAAGCCACCUGAAUAAAGAACCUACAAAACCGUGUGGAGAGCACAAAAAGUAUGUGGGUAUAUUAUUGACAAACCUGCCUCUCACAAUUUUGAAGUUAGGUUGUCUUUUAAAGCAAAACCCAAAAAGCCUUGUGUCUAAAUGGUACACCCUUCCACUGUGUAAAAUCACAUUCUGAUUUCAGCCUAUUUUCACCCUUCUUGUGACCAUCUGCUAAGGAAACCAGCGGCGUGGUUUUCCAACACUUAAUAAGGUGAAAGAGCUGUUUGCAAUCUUCCUGGUGUACGCAGGUCUACAGUAUUCCAUCUGCCCACCUGCAGACACAACAAAACAGGGCACUGGUUGUUUCUUUUAUGUUCCUGUUUGGAAACUGUAGCGUGCAGCCAUGCUGUCCUCAGCCAGUGGAGUUGUAUUGCUUGUGAGCUUAUGAUGCACCGUUCAUCUUCAAUGGCUAAUUCAAUAAAUUCCUAUUUGUUUUGCUUAGAGAUCACUAAUAAGAUUUUUAGGUCUGAGUGGCAGUUGCUAAUGUGAUCGAUUUAUUCAACAGCAGAGCGUGGCUUUAAUAUUGCUAUCAUAUAGCAAAUCAAAUUUCUUUUUGGAAGAAUUACGGCAUCAUGCUGUCCAAGGUGAGCAUGAGAAAGACCUAAGCAUGUCAUCACCAUUCUACUUUUUUAACAAAAAGCACAUGGUAAUAAUGGAUAAGCCUGCAGAGUCUCUUGUCCUUGGUUUGUAAGUGACUUUUAAGCCUAGGUAGAGGAGAGUAUACUGAAUGUGAAGUGUACUGAUGAAGGGCUAGCAGAUAGGCCAGUGUGCUUUUUGUGUUUGCAUAAAUUUCAUCUCUGUUAGCAAAUGAGGAGAUAGCUGAUGGUAUGGUGAGGAAUGGGGAAGCUCUAGAAAAGCCCAAACAUGUUCUGAAUAUUCUAUUGGCACAAAAAAUGAGCGUUGGUUGAAAUGAAGGUUAAAGAGUUGUAAUUAAAAUGGCACCAUGAGGAAUACACUGUUUUUUUUCAGGUUUUUUGUUUUUUAAUAUGGAAUGGCUUAUUUCAAUUCGUAACAAUACGUAACUGCAUCUGCUAUGUACUGGCUAGGAUGAUUUCUCCUGCCACAGGCGGGAGUGCUGGUUACAGCAUUACUGCUUCUUACCUCUUUGCUUUUCAUAUGUAUUCUGUAAUAAAAAUCUAGAUAGGGACCUCAUCGAUUGCAAAGAAUAAAUGGGUUUGUUUAUCUGUACUGGUGACAGUAGUGAAAGCUUUUAUCAGUAAGUUGAGCUGUCGAGGGUAGCACAAGCAGAUAGAUGGAAAAGUACUAUCUUGGUGAUACUGGCAAUCACAGUAUUAUGGUCUGUCCUUACUGCCACUGAAACUGCUGUAGAAAAAGUGGUAUUUAAUCACAGUUGUUAUGAAAAAAGGUUUUAACGUCCUGUUGGCUAAUAUUGGAUAAUUUGAAAAAUGUGCUUUAGACAUUUUAAUGGAGGUCUGCUGGAUGGUGUGUUACAGCUAGCAUUGUUCUCCCAAGGAGGAGUCCUUUGCCUGUGCUCAUUAGAUGAAACAUUCUGGCAACAACAAAGCAUUACACACGCUCUUUGCAUUUCUGGCUUUGUGAAAAGUACAGACAAAAUGGAAAAUGACAGUUUUGGCUAUAGGUUCUCUUGUUUCAGGGCUGUGAGUGGAGGUAAUAAUGUGUGGUGGGAGAGCCUGCUGUAAGCUAGGCGGUCAGUAAUUGAAAUCCAGAAUUAUAUUGCCCCCUGGUUGUUUAAUAGAAGCAGAAUUGAUUCUGUUAAAAUUGAUCUCAGUAAAGUGCAGAAGAAAUUGGAGUGCUCUUUAUUAUAGAAACAAAUUGACAAUGUGUUGUAGAAGUCUUCGUAUGAUAUCCUUGUGAAAUCCAGCAUAAUUGAUGCUCACGUGGGCUGCAGAAAAAUUCUACUUACAGCUCUUCUAUCUGUUUAAUUGCAUGAAUAUUAUAGAGAUGCACCAACAGCUGUCAAGCUAUGGUUGUGCUCAGGUUGUACUUUGUGAAGACUAAAAUCCUUCUUUCUGCACUUUGUUGAACAGUUUGAGUUUUCAGGUUUAAUGUCCCAACCUGUCUAUUUUUUUUUU
This is a non-coding RNA of Meleagris gallopavo (turkey), 7347 nucleotides long. The record is from RefSeq and is a predicted model, not a curated record. NCBI's taxonomy places the organism in Eukaryota, Metazoa, Chordata, Aves, Galliformes, Phasianidae.